This 266-nucleotide long non-coding RNA is filed under the name Vitis vinifera (wine grape). RNAcentral describes it as "long non-coding RNA (VVIN_LNC007469)". Lineage: Eukaryota; Viridiplantae; Streptophyta; Magnoliopsida; Vitales; Vitaceae. The record is from RNAcentral.
AUAGAUGUCUAAGGACAUUGAUCUUGAGAGAGACAACUCCAAACCCCAAGGGUACUAGACCCUUCUUGGAGUUUUGCGUCAUGUACUUGACCAAAUUCUCAUCAAUGUAAGUGACAUGGCACAAUUUUCCAAUUCUUGCAGUCCUAAAGGACCUUAAAUCCAAGAAUAUAUUGCACAUUCAUCUAGAUUUUUAUCUAGAACUGAGUAAACUACUAGAUCUUAAUUGAUGACAAUAUCCCCACAUCAUAUCCAAUGAGUAAAUUGUG